AUGGACGAGCAGGAGUUCCGGCGGAUGCUCGACCUCUUCCCCGUCGUCCGAUCCCGCGACUACUGCAAGGAUGAAGUGGAAUCAUCAAGCGAAGGCACCACACAGCAAACACGACCGCAGGAGAUAAAAGGAACCAAACAGAAUGCUGCAGAAGCUCUAUUCCUGCGGAAAUUGAAGAUGGCUGCUGAGAAAAAGGUUGGAGCAACAAAGGCAGAGCUAUUCUGCAAGACAUUCGAGGAAGCUCACGAGAAACUUGUUUACAAAGAACUGGAUCUGGAUGCUGCUCAAAGGUUCCUGAAUGCCUACAAGAGCUGA
RNAcentral lists this ribosomal RNA (315 nucleotides) under Triticum aestivum (bread wheat). RNAcentral describes it as "partial small subunit ribosomal RNA". The record is from RNAcentral. Lineage: Eukaryota; Viridiplantae; Streptophyta; Magnoliopsida; Poales; Poaceae.